UUUGAUGCGUGUCCUGACUGGUUUCCUGCUUUGUACUCUGGGGCCCUUCACUGCCUGCCAUUUAAAACCUCAAGACUCAAAACCAGCCAUCCUGUUUUUCCUGCCUGCACUACCCUGGACCAAUCUGCCAGAUAAGUUUGCCUUGUGUUUUGUUUCCCAGCGGAGAGAAAAAGGCAAGGGGAGAGAAAGGAGGAGCAGAAAAGUGAGUGAGCUCUGUCAAUUGGAGUGAGAGCGCUGCUAAGUCUGGCUACACUACAAAGGUAAUGUCCUCUCAUGGAGCUGCUUUUGAAGAGCUGCUGCUGUUUGGCCUCAAAUCACCUCCAACUGUCGGCCUGCGUGGCCGUGGGACUACA
This is a long non-coding RNA of Amphiprion ocellaris (clown anemonefish), 353 nucleotides long. The record is from Ensembl. Lineage: Eukaryota; Metazoa; Chordata; Actinopteri; Pomacentridae.